GUACACUCCUGCGGGAGGCAGCAGUGGGGAAUUUUGGACAAUGGGCGAAAGCCUGAUCCAGCAAUGCCGCGUGAGUGAAGAAGGCCUUCGGGUUGUAAAGCUCUUUUGUCAGGGAAGAAACGGUGAAAGCUAAUAUCUUUUGCUAAUGACGGUACCUGAAGAAUAAGCACCGGCUAACUACGUGCCAGCAGCCGCGGUAAUACGUAGGGUGCAAGCGUUAAUCGGAAUUACUGGGCGUAAAGCGUGCGCAGGCGGUUUUGUAAGUCUGAUGUGAAAGCCCCGGGCUCAACCUGGGAAUUGCAUUGGAGACUGCAAGGCUAGAAUCUGGCAGAGGGGGGUAGAAUUCCACGUGUAGCAGUGAAAUGCGUAGAUAUGUGGAGGAACACCGAUGGCGAAGGCAGCCCCCUGGGUCAAGAUUGUCGCUCAUGCACGAAAGCGUGGGGAGCAAACAGGAUUAGAGACCCGGGUAGUCCCAUGAU
Molecule: ribosomal RNA, 479 nt
Filed under: uncultured organism
Description: partial 16S ribosomal RNA
Rfam family: Bacterial small subunit ribosomal RNA
Source: RNAcentral